CCUACGGGAGGCAGCAGUAGGGAAUAUUGCUCAAUGGGGGAAACCCUGAAGCAGCAACGCCGCGUGGAGGAUGAAGGUUUUCGGAUUGUAAACUCCUUUUGUUAGAGAAGAUAAUAAGGGUAUAUAACGAAUAAGCACCGGCUAACUCCGUGCCAGCGGCCGCGGUAAUACGGAGGGGGCAAGCGUUACUCGGAUUUACUGGGCGUAAAAAGCGCGUAGGCGGGAGAGCAAGUCAGAUGUGAAAUCCAAUGGCUUAACCCUAGAACUGCAUUUGAAACUGUUAUUCUAGAGUAUGGGAGAGGUAGGUGGAAUUCCUGGUGUAGCGGUAAAAUGCGUAGAGAUAAAGAGGAAUACUCAUUGCGAAGGCGACCUGCUAGAACAUAACUGACGCUGAGGCGCGAAAGCGUGGGGAGCAAACAGGAUUAGAUACCCGGGUAGUC
This 440-nucleotide ribosomal RNA is filed under the name uncultured bacterium. RNAcentral's name for it is "partial 16S ribosomal RNA". It matches the Rfam family "Bacterial small subunit ribosomal RNA", at positions 338 to 795 of the family's 1533-position model. The record is from RNAcentral.